AGAAGUUUGAUUUUGAAUUAAAAUUGAAAGAACAAUACGGACGCGGAAGACGACAAAAUUAUUAAUUUAAUUGUCUACCAUGAGAAUCAGAGAUCGUCUUGUUUCAAGAACAAUUAAGACAUUAAAAAAUAUAUCUAGAUCCCGCUGAUGACAUGAGGCUAUGAAGCCAAUCUAUUGUUGGUUAAAAAUUUGCAUUAGUUAGUUGUUCUUGUGGAAGAAUUUUGAUAAUUAUAUGAAUUUAUUUAUUAAGUGUUUGAACGCAAUUUUAAUUGACUUCAAGGCGCCUGAUUAACUUGAAAAUGUACACACGCAUCAUGGACAAAUGACAAUGCAAUAAUUUUAUAAUUACGCUCUAAAAUCAUGACUAAUAUCAGCAUGAUAAAAAAGAUCAAAUAAAUUUAUUUGUUAUUUUGCUA
This is a long non-coding RNA of Bombyx mori (domestic silkworm), 416 nucleotides long. RefSeq lists it as uncharacterized. The record is from RefSeq and is a predicted model, not a curated record. Lineage: Eukaryota; Metazoa; Arthropoda; Insecta; Lepidoptera; Bombycidae. The transcript has 2 exons.